Molecule: ribosomal RNA, 390 nt
Filed under: uncultured bacterium
Lineage: Bacteria
Description: bacterial SSU rRNA
Rfam family: Bacterial small subunit ribosomal RNA
Source: RNAcentral
AACGAACGCUGGCGGCGUGCUUAACACAUGCAAGUCGAACGUGAAAGGCUUCGGCCGAGUAAAGUGGCGCACGGGUGAGUAACGCGUGGGUAAUCUGCCCUUGGGCGGGGGAUAACCUCUCGAAAGGGGGGCUAAUACCGCAUGAGACCACGGCUUUUCGGGGCUGUGGGAAAAGGUGGGUCGCAAGGCCUGCCACCUGAGGAUGAGCCCGCGUACCAUUAGGUUGUUGGUGGGGUAAUGGCCUACCAAGCCGAAGAUGGUUAGCUGGUCUGAGAGGACGAUCAGCCACACUGGGACUGAGACACGGCCCAGACUCCUACGGGAGGCAGCAGUGGGGAAUAUUGCGCAAUGGGGGAAACCCUGACGCAGCAACGCCGCGUGUGUGAAGAA